AUUGAACGCUGGCGGCAGGCCUAACACAUGCAAGUCGAGCGGAUGAAGGGAGCUUGCUCCUGGAUUCAGCGGCGGACGGGUGAGUAAUGCCUAGGAAUCUACCUGGUAGUGGGGGAUAACGUCCGGAAACGGGCGCUAAUACCGCAUACGUCCUGAGGGAGAAAGUGGGGGAUCUUCGGACCUCACGCUAUCAGAUGAGCCUAGGUCGGAUUAGCUAGUUGGUGGGGUAAAGGCCUACCAAGGCGACGAUCCGUAACUGGUCUGAGAGGAUGAUCAGUCACACUGGAACUGAGACACGGUCCAGACUCCUACGGGAGGCAGCAGUGGGGAAUAUUGGACAAUGGGCGAAAGCCCGAUCCAGCCAUGCCGCGUGUGUGAAGAAGGUCUUCGGAUUGUAAAGCACUUUAAGUUGGGAGGAAGGGCAGUAAGUUAAUACCUUGCUGUUUUGACGUUACCAACAGAAUAAGCACCGGCUAACUUCGUG
RNAcentral lists this ribosomal RNA (484 nucleotides) under uncultured bacterium. Its description in RNAcentral is "partial 16S ribosomal RNA". It matches the Rfam family "Bacterial small subunit ribosomal RNA", at positions 30 to 507 of the family's 1533-position model. The record is from RNAcentral.